AAUUUCAUGAUAUACCGAAAAUUUUAUUUAAUUAAAAUUGAAAAUUUAAUUAAAAUAAUUUCAUAAUAACACCGGUCGAUUUGUUUUGAAAUUUAUGAUGGCAAUUUGCGCAGUUAAUGGUGGUGUAUGAGUCUCCACUUUAAUGUUAUUAUUAAAGAAUGUUGAGAUUUGUAAUUAUGAUGUAGUCAUGCAGAUAAAGAAAUAUUGUGUAAAGCCAGUUUAGAAUGAGAAAGAAGAGCAAAAGACAACUGGAAGAAAAACGGUAGUAGAUAUUCGAUAAGACUUGUUGCCAGUAAUGUAAGUAGCAGGCAGGAGGUCAAAAUAAGAACAACAUGUGUUACACCUGACAGGUCGUGGCUGCUUAAAGAGCAGAUGUACUCUAAGCUGUGAUGAAGACUGACUGACUCACUCAAGCUACACAUGUAGGACACGUCCUCCCGAUGAAGUGUUUAGAGAGCAGAGAUAAGCUUUGGAGAACUGCCACGUGGUGCUUACAAGGAUAUGAGGGCACAUCUUUACAUCCUUAGUGUUUAAUUGACAGUUUGGACAUACACCAAGCCGUGCACACCAACGCGUCUGACGAGACAGAAUGGGAUCAUCAGUGCUUUCGACGGCAUUAAAAUUUAAGGUUGUAUUCAAUUUUCUGAUUAUAACUAGGAGUCUUCCCGAAAAAUUAUCUAUAAAAUUAUUUUUCUAAUUGGGUUGAUAUUAUUGACUUUGUCUUAGCAUAGACAUAUGCAUCUUCAGUAGUUACAAUAUAGUUUUACACCACGUCUCGUCUUGAAGCAGCAUCAAUCACUGAUUUUCAUAUCAAACAUAGAGGGUUUACAUUUAUUAGACGAAUCUUCUAUUUAUACGAGGUAAAUUCUUCAUCAUUCAGACAGCUCUAUGUAAUGACUAUGGUUCACCACAUUGACAAUACUUUAUUGUUCUUGUGAGUAUGUAGCCUGUACACUAAUUAGACUGGCUAACUUUAUGGACAUAACGUAGCUUUAUUAUUACUUUUUGGAGACAAUAUUUAUCGAUAGCUAAGUGUCCUGAUUAAAACACC
This is a long non-coding RNA of Pomacea canaliculata, 1051 nucleotides long. RefSeq lists it as uncharacterized. The record is from RefSeq and is a predicted model, not a curated record. The transcript is spliced from 2 exons. NCBI's taxonomy places the organism in Eukaryota, Metazoa, Mollusca, Gastropoda, Architaenioglossa, Ampullariidae.